AGAGACCGGCGCACGGGUGCGUAACGCGUAUGCAAUCUACCUUUCACAGAGGGAUAGCCCAGAGAAAUUCGGAUUAAUACCUCAUAGUAUAUCGAGUUGGCAUCAACAUGAUAUUAAAGUCACAACGGUGAAAGAUGAGCAUGCGUCCCAUUAGCUAGUUGGUAAGGUAACGGCUUACCAAGGCAACGAUGGGUAGGGGUCCUGAGAGGGAGAUCCCCCACACUGGUACUGAGACACGGACCAGACUCCUACGGGAGGCAGCAGUGAGGAAUAUUGGACAAUGGGCGCAAGCCUGAUCCAACCAUGCCGCGUGCAGGAUGACGGUCCUAUGGAUUGUAAACUGCUUUUAUACAGGAAGAAACAACUCUACGUGUAGAGUCUUGACGGUAUCGUAAGAAUAAGGAUCGGCUAACUCCGUGCCAGCAGCCGCGGUAAUACGGAGGAUCCAAGCGUUAUCCGGAAUCAUUGGGUUUAAAGGGUCCGUAGGCGGUCAGAUAAGUCAGUGGUGAAAGCCCAUCGCUAAACGGUGGAACGGCCAUUGAUA
RNAcentral lists this ribosomal RNA (544 nucleotides) under uncultured Flavobacterium sp. Its description in RNAcentral is "bacterial SSU rRNA". It matches the Rfam family "Bacterial small subunit ribosomal RNA", at positions 90 to 632 of the family's 1533-position model. Lineage: Bacteria; Pseudomonadati; Bacteroidota; Flavobacteriia; Flavobacteriales; Flavobacteriaceae. The record is from RNAcentral.